AGUGAACGCUGGCGGUAGGCCUAACACAUGCAAGUCGAACGGCAGCACAGUAAGAGCUUGCUCUUACGGGUGGCGAGUGGCGGACGGGCGAGGAAUACAUCGGAAUCUACUUUUUCGUGGGGGAUAACGUAGGGAAACUUACGCUAAUACCGCAUACGACCUACGGGUGAAAGCAGGGGAUUUUCGGACCUUGCGCGAUUGAAUGAGCCGAUGUUGGAUUAGCUAGUUGGCGGGGUAAAGGCCCAGCAAGGCGACGAUCCGUAGCUGGUCUGAGAGGAUGAUCAGACACCCUGGAACUGAGACACGGUCCAGACUCCUACGGGAGGCAGAAGUGGGGAAUAUUGGACAAUGGGCGCAAGCCUGAUCCAGCCAUACCGCGUGGGUGAAGAAGGCCUUCGGGUUGUAAAGCCCUUUUGUUGGGAAAGAAAAGCAGCAGGUUAAUACCCCGCUGUUCUGACGGUACCCAAAGAAUAAGCACCGGCUAACUUCGUG
This 492-nucleotide ribosomal RNA is filed under the name uncultured bacterium. RNAcentral describes it as "partial 16S ribosomal RNA". It matches the Rfam family "Bacterial small subunit ribosomal RNA", at positions 29 to 507 of the family's 1533-position model. The record is from RNAcentral.